UGGUGGAGUGAUUUGUCUGGUUAAUUCCGUUAACGAACGAGACCCCUGCCUGCUAAAUAGUGGCGCUAGUGAUUUUCACUGGCGAUUCGCUUCUUAGAGGGACGUGCGUUCUAUUAGACGCAGGAAGAUAGGGGCAAUAACA
This 142-nucleotide ribosomal RNA is filed under the name uncultured eukaryote. Its description in RNAcentral is "partial 18S ribosomal RNA". It matches the Rfam family "Eukaryotic small subunit ribosomal RNA", at positions 1299 to 1458 of the family's 1831-position model. The record is from RNAcentral.